GACGAACGCUGGCGGCGUGCCUAAUACAUGCAAGUCGAACGCAGUGGGGACGGGUGAGUAACACGUGGGUAACCUCCCAUCAGAGGGGAUAACACUUGGAAACAGGUGCUAAACCGAUACUGAUGGAUGGACCCGCGGUGCAUUAGCUAGUUGGUGAGGUAACGGCUCACCAAGGCCACGAUGCAUAGCCGACCUGAGAGGGUGAUGGGACAGACUGGGACUGAGCAACGGCCCAGACUCCUACGGGAGGCAGCAGUGGGGAAUAUUUGGCAAUGGACGAAAGCCUGACCGAGCCACGCCGCGUGAGUGAAGAAGGUCUUCGGGUUGUAAAGUACUUUUGUCAGAGAGGCGGUACCUAACCAAGAAGCACCGGCUAACUACGUGCCAGCAGCCGCGGUAAUUC
This 403-nucleotide ribosomal RNA is filed under the name uncultured bacterium. RNAcentral's name for it is "partial 16S ribosomal RNA". It matches the Rfam family "Bacterial small subunit ribosomal RNA", at positions 28 to 526 of the family's 1533-position model. The record is from RNAcentral.